UCCACAUCUCUUAAACCCUUUAUUACUAUUAAGUAAUUUUAUAAACAUAUAAAAGCUUUUAUGCUAAAACUAGUAACAAGAAAUUGAAUUUCUCCAAAAUUUAAGUAUAAACCAAAAUGGACUAACCAUUGGUAAUUAACGUUAAUAAACUUACUAUAGCAACACACCAAGAAAAUACUAUAUUUCUACACGUUAACCUUACACAAGUAAAUUUCCGGAAAGAUUAAAAGAAAGAGAAGGAACUCGGCAAAUUUUAACCCCGCCUGUUUACCAAAAACAUCGCCUCUUGAUAAAAUAUAAGAGGUCCAGCCUGCCCAGUGAUAUACUUAAACGGCCGCGGUACCCUGACCGUGCAAAGGUAGCAUAAUCAUUUGUUCUUUAAAUAAGGACUUGUAUCAACGGCAUUACGAGGGUUAUACUGUCUCCCCUUUCCAUCAGUGAAACUGACCUCCCCGUGAAGAGGCGGGGAUAAAAACACAAGACGAGAAGACCCCAUGGAGCUUUAAACCCAAUAACAAAUCUUCUUAAAUAAACCUUAAAACGACGAGUAUCUGUUUAUUGGUUUUGGGUUGGGGUGACCACGGAGUAAAAAUUAACCUCCUUGACGAAUAGAUUUUAUCUUUAUCCAAGAGCCACUGCUCAAAGAAUCAAAAAUUUGACGUUACAUGAUCCGGCAGCCGAUCAACGAACCAAGUUACCCUGGGGAUAACAGCGCAAUCCAUUUCAAGAGCCCCUAUCGACAAAUGGGUUUACGACCUCGAUGUUGGA
Molecule: ribosomal RNA, 768 nt
Filed under: Limnonectes sp. 'duboisi'
Lineage: Eukaryota; Metazoa; Chordata; Amphibia; Anura; Dicroglossidae
Description: partial 16S ribosomal RNA
Rfam family: Bacterial large subunit ribosomal RNA
Source: RNAcentral